CCGAGAAGAAGGGACUGCCGCCAUCACCAGCUUGGCCUGCGAAGGCUGUCUAUGGACCACUGUCUUGACUGAGGAUUGAUGUGGGAGGGCCCAGCCCUCUUCGGGCAGCGCUGUGACUGAACUGAUGGUCCUGGGCUAGUCAAGGCAUCUGAGCAAGCCAGUGUGAGGAUCCACAGAUGCCCAGGCAGAAGAUGAGGUAGACCCCCUCACUGAAUCAGCCCUGGGUAUGCUAUGAGCACCACCCCCACACUGCAGACGCAGGCGGGGCUCCCAUCCGGGAAGAGUCCUGUGAGAACUAAGGACACUGGAUGCUGAGGUCCAGAUUAGGGACGUGUCACACCUUGUGGGACCAGUUCUUGGAAGAAACCGGCCCCUUCUCGGAUCCCUUUGCUGUGAUCACCUCCUUCCCCACUGUGCUGCUCAACACGAUGAGCUCACCAGAGCCAGUGCUGCAGACGCCCAGACUUCAACCAACUGUGAGCCGAGUAAAACUCUUCUCUCUAGAAAGUACUCUACCUCCAUAUUUGGU
This is a long non-coding RNA of Meriones unguiculatus (Mongolian gerbil), 529 nucleotides long. RefSeq lists it as uncharacterized. The transcript has 3 exons. The record is from RefSeq and is a predicted model, not a curated record. NCBI's taxonomy places the organism in Eukaryota, Metazoa, Chordata, Mammalia, Rodentia, Muridae.